CAACCACUCCCUCUUUCCCAAAUUUCUUGUCUUAGAUUUGUCUAGAUACGGAUGUAUCUAAUACUAAAAUGUGACUUGAUACAACCAUAUCUAGACAAAUCUAAGACAAGAAUUUUGGGACGUAGGGGGUACUUU
Molecule: non-coding RNA, 135 nt
Organism: Triticum aestivum (bread wheat)
Lineage: Eukaryota; Viridiplantae; Streptophyta; Magnoliopsida; Poales; Poaceae
Source: Rfam